Carya illinoinensis is the source of this 1073-nucleotide long non-coding RNA. RefSeq lists it as uncharacterized. The transcript has 5 exons. NCBI's taxonomy places the organism in Eukaryota, Viridiplantae, Streptophyta, Magnoliopsida, Fagales, Juglandaceae. The record is from RefSeq and is a predicted model, not a curated record.
UCAUUAGCCGACUUAAGCUUUCUACACCGCACACGUGAUGUGGCAAACCCAGUCUAGGGGCCACAUCAUGGUUCGCAGCCACUGGAAGUUCGUCUCGAUCUGUAAUUCGAUUUCCUCCACUAAAACAGCCUUCCUCUCCUCAUGCCCGAUUUCAUUCAUUGGAAGCCUUCCUCAGUUCCUCUGCUCAUGCCCCCUCUCCCUCGUGUUCCUUUCUCCUGUUCUCCUCUCUCUCUCUCUCUCUCUCUCUCUCUCUCUCUCUCUCUCUCUCUCUCUCUCUCUCUCUCUCUGUACUCCUGUCUUUCGUGCCUCUCUCUGUGAUCCUAGGGCAAAGUCGUCCCUUGCAAACUCUAGUCGAUGUCAAAGAGAAGACCGUCCCUACAUCCAGAUCUAUGGCCACGCCAUAGUAAGUUUUAACCAAAACCUGGUUUUUGAUUCCCCAGUACAGUGACGUGGUAAAUAUCCCCCGAGUCACUACAAAUAUCUCCCUCUCCGAUGGAAACGCUUAUGCUAGUGCAGGUGCUUCAAGCAAGGAUUCAAAUGGGUGUUCUUGUACCUACUGGAGAUAUGACUGCUGCCAGAUGAACAACACAGUUCUUCCUUAACAGUUUUGAAGAGCGGCUUGCUGCAGAAAGAAAGGAAAGAAAGCUAACGACAAAGGAGCCGGGGUUUAAAAAGCCAUUGAGGGAAGGUCUAUUAGCUAUUGCAGCAGAUCAGCCCUUUCAAUUUCCCGCCACAUUCACAUUUGUUAGAGCAUUUUCAGUUUUGGAUGGCAUUGAUUUGGAAAGGACCUUGACCCUCGAUUUGAUAUUACUGAGAUUGCCAAGCCUUAUGCGAUGGAGUUGUUAAGGUUGAAGGAAGCUGUGGUUGAAGUUAUCCUGAAGGCAAACUCAAAAUUCUCUUCACUUAUUAACAAGGAUAGCUUUCAGCCCCCAUCGAGGAGUUACAUUUGUAAUUUGUAACAAUUCUGUGGUAGAUGUCGGCAUUGUAGUCAUCUUUAACGGGAUGAAUGUCUACUCAUGGUGUAUAAUUUUAUAAUAUAAGAAAAAAUUAUUCAAUAAAAUGUGCUUCUUUUU